GAGGUGUGCUCAGAGCAGGGGGCCUGAAGAAAUGUCUCCCCUGUUUACAACACACCCAACAGGAAUCUGGGUUCACUGUGAGAAGGGGCACAAAACUUGAGGCCUUCAUCCUAUGAGCAAAUACCCUUCACGU
Molecule: small nucleolar RNA, 133 nt
Organism: Camelus dromedarius (Arabian camel)
Lineage: Eukaryota; Metazoa; Chordata; Mammalia; Artiodactyla; Camelidae
Source: Ensembl